UGGGGAAUAUUGGGCAAUGGGGGCAACCCUGACCCAGCAACGCCGCGUGAAGGAAGAAGGCUUUCGGGUUGUAAACUUCUUUUACCAGGGACGAAGGACGUGACGGUACCUGGAGAAAAAGCCACGGCUAACUACGUGCCAGCAGCCGCGGUAAUACGUAGGUGGCAAGCGUUGUCCGGAUUUACUGGGUGUAAAGGGCGUGUAGGCGGAGCUGCAAGUCAGAUGUGAAAUUCCGGGGCUCAACCCCGGAACUGCAUUUGAAACUGUAGCCCUUGAGUAUCGGAGAGGCAGGCGGAAUUCCUAGUGUAGCGGUGAAAUGCGUAGAUAUUAGGAGGAACACCAGUGGCGAAGGCGGCCUGCUGGACGACAACUGACGCUGAGGCGCGAAAGCGUGGGGAGCAAACAGGAUUAGAUACC
This 417-nucleotide ribosomal RNA is filed under the name uncultured bacterium. RNAcentral's name for it is "bacterial SSU rRNA". It matches the Rfam family "Bacterial small subunit ribosomal RNA", at positions 355 to 786 of the family's 1533-position model. The record is from RNAcentral.